Molecule: ribosomal RNA, 460 nt
Filed under: uncultured bacterium
Lineage: Bacteria
Description: partial 16S ribosomal RNA
Rfam family: Bacterial small subunit ribosomal RNA
Source: RNAcentral
CCUACGGGUGGCAGCAGUGAGGAAUAUUGGUCAAUGGACGCAAGUCUGAACCAGCCAUGCCGCGUGCAGGAUGACGGCUCUAUGAGUUGUAAACUGUUUUUGUACGAGGGUAAACCCCGAUACGUGUAUCGUGUUGAAAGUAUCGUACGAAUAAGGAUCGGCUAACUCCGUGCCAGCAGCCGCGGUAAUACGGAGGAUCCGAUCGUUAUCAGGGUUUGUUGGUGUGAAAGGGUGCGUAGGCGGUUUGGCAAGUUAGAGGUGAAAGGUCGGGGCUCAACCCAGAAACUGCCUCUAAUACUGUUGGACUAGAGAAUAGUAGCGGUAAGCGGAAUGUAUGGUGUAGCGGUGAAAUGCUUAGAGAUCAGACAGAACACCGAUUGCGAAGGCAGCUUACCAAACUGUAUCUGACGUUGAGGCACGAAAGCGUGGGUAGCAAACAGGAUUAGAUACCCGGGUAGUC